Molecule: ribosomal RNA, 256 nt
Filed under: uncultured bacterium
Lineage: Bacteria
Description: partial 16S ribosomal RNA
Rfam family: Bacterial small subunit ribosomal RNA
Source: RNAcentral
UAAUACGGAGGGUGCAAACGUUGUUCGGAAUCAUUGGGCGUAAAGCGCACGCAGGCGGUUUAUCAGGUCGGAUGUGAAAUGCCGGGGCUCAACCCCGGAACUGCGUUCGAAACCGGUAAGCUGGAGUCACGGAGGGAGAAGGGGAAUUCCUGGUGUAGGGGUGAAAUCCGUAGAGAUCAGGAGGAACACCGGCGGCGAAAGCGCCUUCUUGGACGAUGACUGACGCUGAGGUGCGAAAGCGUGGGGAGCAAACAGG